GCACUGCUGACGAGUCCCAAACAGGACGAAACAGCUGUGCCGGUGC
RNAcentral lists this non-coding RNA (46 nucleotides) under Echinostoma caproni. The record is from RNAcentral. Lineage: Eukaryota; Metazoa; Platyhelminthes; Trematoda; Plagiorchiida; Echinostomatidae.